This 1688-nucleotide ribosomal RNA is filed under the name Salmonella enterica subsp. enterica serovar 4,[5],12:i:-. Its description in RNAcentral is "bacterial LSU rRNA". It matches the Rfam family "Bacterial large subunit ribosomal RNA", at positions 1271 to 2925 of the family's 2925-position model. Lineage: Bacteria; Pseudomonadati; Pseudomonadota; Gammaproteobacteria; Enterobacterales; Enterobacteriaceae. The record is from RNAcentral.
UGCUGGAGGUAUCAGAAGUGCGAAUGCUGACAUAAGUAACGAUAAAGCGGGUGAAAAGCCCGCUCGCCGGAAGACCAAGGGUUCCUGUCCAACGUUAAUCGGGGCAGGGUGAGUCGACCCCUAAGGCGAGGCCGAAAGGCGUAGUCGAUGGGAAACGGGUUAAUAUUCCCGUACUUGGUGUUACUGCGAAGGGGGGACGGAGAAGGCUAUGUUGGCCGGGCGACGGUUGUCCCGGUUUAAGCGUGUAGGUGUGUGUUCCAGGUAAAUCCGGUUCACUUUAACACUGAGGCGUGAUGACGAGGCACUACGGUGCUGAAGCAACAAAUGCCCUGCUUCCAGGAAAAGCCUCUAAGCAUCAGGUAACAUCAAAUCGUACCCCAAACCGACACAGGUGGUCAGGUAGAGAAUACCAAGGCGCUUGAGAGAACUCGGGUGAAGGAACUAGGCAAAAUGGUGCCGUAACUUCGGGAGAAGGCACGCUGACACGUAGGUGAAGUGAUUUACUCACGGAGCUGAAGUCAGUCGAAGAUACCAGCUGGCUGCAACUGUUUAUUAAAAACACAGCACUGUGCAAACACGAAAGUGGACGUAUACGGUGUGACGCCUGCCCGGUGCCGGAAGGUUAAUUGAUGGGGUCAGCGUAAGCGAAGCUCCUGAUCGAAGCCCCGGUAAACGGCGGCCGUAACUAUAACGGUCCUAAGGUAGCGAAAUUCCUUGUCGGGUAAGUUCCGACCUGCACGAAUGGCGUAAUGAUGGCCAGGCUGUCUCCACCCGAGACUCAGUGAAAUUGAACUCGCUGUGAAGAUGCAGUGUACCCGCGGCAAGACGGAAAGACCCCGUGAACCUUUACUAUAGCUUGACACUGAACAUUGAGCCUUGAUGUGUAGGAUAGGUGGGAGGCUUUGAAGUGUGGACGCCAGUCUGCAUGGAGCCGACCUUGAAAUACCACCCUUUAAUGUUUGAUGUUCUAACGUGGACCCGUAAUCCGGGUUGCGGACAGUGUCUGGUGGGUAGUUUGACUGGGGCGGUCUCCUCCUAAAGAGUAACGGAGGAGCACGAAGGUUGGCUAAUCCUGGUCGGACAUCAGGAGGUUAGUGCAAUGGCAUAAGCCAGCUUGACUGCGAGCGUGACGGCGCGAGCAGGUGCGAAAGCAGGUCAUAGUGAUCCGGUGGUUCUGAAUGGAAGGGCCAUCGCUCAACGGAUAAAAGGUACUCCGGGGAUAACAGGCUGAUACCGCCCAAGAGUUCAUAUCGACGGCGGUGUUUGGCACCUCGAUGUCGGCUCAUCACAUCCUGGGGCUGAAGUAGGUCCCAAGGGUAUGGCUGUUCGCCAUUUAAAGUGGUACGCGAGCUGGGUUUAGAACGUCGUGAGACAGUUCGGUCCCUAUCUGCCGUGGGCGCUGGAGAACUGAGGGGGGCUGCUCCUAGUACGAGAGGACCGGAGUGGACGCAUCACUGGUGUUCGGGUUGUCAUGCCAAUGGCACUGCCCGGUAGCUAAAUGCGGAAGAGAUAAGUGCUGAAAGCAUCUAAGCACGAAACUUGCCCCGAGAUGAGUUCUCCCUGAGACUUAGAGUCUCCUGAAGGAACGUUGAAGACGACGACGUUGAUAGGCCGGGUGUGUAAGCGCAGCGAUGCGUUGAGCUAACCGGUACUAAUGAACCGUGAGGCUUAACCUUACAACGCCGAAG